Non-coding RNA from Saimiri boliviensis boliviensis (Bolivian squirrel monkey), 382 nucleotides. Lineage: Eukaryota; Metazoa; Chordata; Mammalia; Primates; Cebidae. The record is from RefSeq and is a predicted model, not a curated record.
GGGGAAAGCAUAAUCUCAUUUUUAAGUGAAAAAUUACACACACACACACACACACAAGCCUGGGAAGCUAAAAACAUACAAUUAAAUGUUAACAGUGUUACUGCUGGAUGGUGAAGGGUGGGCUGAUGGGCUAGCGAUAUGUGGCACGGUACCCUCUCUUGACGCUGGGCAGUGGUGGCAAGCACAGCUCCCAGUCAGCCAUGCAAUCAUCAGGAUACGUGUGGCUCGGGACACCACGCUGUCAGAGUUUCACUAUCCUAAGCACAAUGUAACAACUCAUCAUGGCCACGUAGUGUUCCAGUAACAUGGAGGAAUAAAAAAGUUGUAUAAAUGGCAUCAAGAUUGCCUUAAGACCAUCACGCUAAUAGAAGCAAUAAACAUC